GUCCACGCCGUAAACGGUGCGCACUAGGUGUCGGGGGUAUUCACCCCUCCGGUGCCGAAGCUAACGUACUAAGUGCGCCGCCUGGGAAGUACGGCCGCAAGGCUAAAACUCAAAGGAAUUGACGGGGGCCCGCACAAGCGGUGGAGCAUGUGGUUCAAUUCGAUGCAACGCGAAGAACCUUACCUGGUCUUGACAUCUCGGGAAUCUCCCUGAAAGGGGAGAGUGCCUUCGGGAACCCGAUGACAGGUGCUGCAUGGCUGUCGU
RNAcentral lists this ribosomal RNA (264 nucleotides) under uncultured bacterium. Its description in RNAcentral is "partial 16S ribosomal RNA". It matches the Rfam family "Bacterial small subunit ribosomal RNA", at positions 793 to 1055 of the family's 1533-position model. The record is from RNAcentral.